CUUGUACACACCGCCCGUCACACCACGAGAGUUUGUAACACCCGAAGUCGGUGAGGUAACCCUUUUGGGAGCCAGCCGCCUAAGGUGGGACAGAUAAUUGGGGUGAAGUCGUAACAAGGUAGCCGUAUCGGAAGGUGCGGCUGGAUCACCUCCUUUCUAAGGAAACUAACGGAAACCCACACAUUCGUACUUACUUUGUUUAGUUUUGAGAGGUCUAAUCUUCUCAAUCUUUUUAAUUGAAACACGUUGUUCUUUGAAAACUGGAUAAAGUUAAAAAUUGUUAUUCAAGUAAGAAACCAGAAAGACACCGAAAAUGUUUUAAAAUGAGUUUUUUUAAGGUUCUCAUCGUAAGAUGAGGUUUAAAAUUAACGCUAACCAUAGGUUAAGUUAAUAAGGGCGCACGGUGAAUGCCUUGGCACUAGGAGCCGAUGAAGGACGGGACUAACGCCGAUAUGCUUUGGGGAGCUGUAAGUAAGCUUUGAUCCAAAGAUUUCCGAAUGGGGGAACCCAGCAUCUUUGAUAGGAUGUUACUGCUGACUGAAUACAUAGGUCAGUAGAGGUAGACGCAGAGAACUGAAACAUCUAAGUACC
RNAcentral lists this unclassified non-coding RNA (591 nucleotides) under bacterium GI922. RNAcentral's name for it is "partial contains 16S ribosomal RNA, 16S-23S ribosomal RNA intergenic spacer, and 23S ribosomal RNA". The stretch from base 381 to 591 matches the Rfam family "Bacterial large subunit ribosomal RNA", at positions 1 to 210 of the family's 2925-position model. RNAcentral also lists the same sequence under 1 other name. The record is from RNAcentral.